CAGAGAUUUGAAUGAAAUACCUGAAAUAAUCUAUCGAUAAUUAUACUACUUAAUCAUAUUUAUAUAAAUUGUUACAUUUCACGAUAUAUUUUCUCGUAAACCAUUAGACCUCUCUUGUAAAAUUCAUGGAUUACGGCAAGAAUACAAAAUUUCCAACUGUACGCCCAUGGAUAUAGUUAUUCAGCACCAGUUUUUAGUCAAACCGAAAGGGUGUUUUGCAUAUAUUGGACGGAUGCCAGUUUACGCGUAGCAUAAACAAUCCCGAACUUGGACUCAAGGCUUUUUAUGUUCGUGAAAUUAGUAAAUUUAUGGAGUGUUUUGCUUCAACCACCAUGAAAUAUGUGUUUACGACCGUGAUAGAUAAAGAAUGUUCCUCCACAAGUUGAAUAAAAACUUAGAUAUAUGCGUCCUGGAGGAUAUUAUUUCCUGGAAUACUUCCUGAAUAUAUUGUUUAACUUCAACGAAGUCAAAAACUGGAAGUUUGGAAUGAUAAUAAAAAUACACAGUUGG
Molecule: long non-coding RNA, 510 nt
Organism: Leptinotarsa decemlineata (Colorado potato beetle)
Lineage: Eukaryota; Metazoa; Arthropoda; Insecta; Coleoptera; Chrysomelidae
Source: RefSeq, a predicted model, not a curated record